Cydia amplana is the source of this 1482-nucleotide RNA transcript. RefSeq lists it as uncharacterized. The record is from RefSeq and is a predicted model, not a curated record. The transcript is spliced from 2 exons. NCBI's taxonomy places the organism in Eukaryota, Metazoa, Arthropoda, Insecta, Lepidoptera, Tortricidae.
CCUUUUAUCGACCCACUUAGCAAAAAAGGUCAAAAAUUCACUGCGCUUGACUAUUGAUUCACAGCAUUUUUGGUCUGAUUCAACUAUAGUUCUUUGCUGGAUAAAAACAUGCAAACAACAAUUAAAACAAUUUGUCCACAAUAGGAUCACAGAAAUCACUAACAACUCUGACCCCACAGAUUGGCAUUAUGUACCCACAACCUUGAACCCUGCCGACAUAGGUAGUAGAGGUCAGAGCGCAUUAAAUCUCAAAGAUUCACCUUUGUGGUGGGAAGGACCGCCUUUCCUCCAUAAAGGUGAAAUACAAUGGCCUACUCAACCUCAAAAUUUGCCUUUAGAGAAUUUGCCUGAAGUCAAAAUACAAUGUCACGUUUCAACUGAACAAUGCGAGGAUAAUUUCACCUCUAAAUAUUCAAACUUUUGUAAAUUACAACGAAUUAUAGCAUACAUGAAUAGAUUCGUUCAUAACUGUAAAAAUAGAACUAACAAGAAUACAGGUCCAUUAAAAGUGUCAGAGCUUAAUUUGUCAUUACAAAUGUUGUGUAAACAAGUGCAGACAGACAAAUUCAAUGAGCAACUCUUGCGUUUGCUAAACAAACGCCCACUUUCUCACAAGGAUACCCUGUUGAAAUUUAAUCCAUUUGUCCAGAUACCUUUGGAAUUUUGCGAGUAGGUGGCAGACUUGCAAAUUCAUACUACGAUUAUAACACAAAACACCCUAUUUUAUUACAUGCAUCACAUCACAUCACUAAAAUAUUAGUACAUCACUACCAUCGAAUGUUAAUGCACACUGGACCACAGCUGAUGCUAGCAACAUUACGCCACAGGUAUUGGAUAAUUAACGGCCGUAACCUUUGCAGGCAAACGUCACAAAGCUGCAUUACAUGUUUAAGAUAUUCGGGUAAAACUCAUCAACCAAUUAUGGGCAACCUGCCACUGCAAAGGGUACAGUCCGAAUACGUAUUUGCUAACACAUCCUGUGACUACGCUGGGCCAAUCCUGAUAGCGAGCAGAAAGGGUCGUGGUUGUCAAACUAAGAAAGCAUACAUAGUUGUUUUUGUUUGUUUGGCAGUGAGGGCGGUACACUUGGAGCUCGUCACUGAUUUGACAGCCAUGGGCUUUAUUGCCGCGUUAAAUAGAUUCAUAGUCCGCAGAGGCAAACCAGCCACCAUUUUGUCAGAUAAUGGUACUUGUUUCGUAGGGGCUUGUAACGAAUUAGCCAAGUUUCUUAAAAAUAACUCUGACGAAAUAACGUCAUAUUCAGCUACAAAGGAAAUAGAAUUCAAAUUUUGUCCUGCUUAUAGCCCACAUUUUAAUGGUUUGGCAGAGGGCGCAGUUAAGCGAAACUGCAGGUCCGAAACAAAUGGCGCAGGAAUGGAGGCCAGCUGAAGCUCGGCGAGAUGGUUCUCGUCAAAGACGACCGCUUGCCCCCCAGCAGAUGGCUGCUCGGGCGAGUCGCCGCAGUCUACCCGGGCGACGACG